GCUUACGGCCAUACCACCCUGAGCGCGCCCGAUCUCGUCUGAUCUAGGAAGCUAAGCAGGGUCGGGCCUGGUUAGUACUUGGAUGGGAGACCGCCUGGGAAUACCAGGUGCUGUAAGCU
Ribosomal RNA from Cyprinus carpio carpio, 119 nucleotides. Lineage: Eukaryota; Metazoa; Chordata; Actinopteri; Cypriniformes; Cyprinidae. The record is from Ensembl.